Peromyscus leucopus (white-footed mouse) is the source of this 1364-nucleotide long non-coding RNA. RefSeq lists it as uncharacterized. Lineage: Eukaryota; Metazoa; Chordata; Mammalia; Rodentia; Cricetidae. The record is from RefSeq and is a predicted model, not a curated record. The transcript has 3 exons.
AUUUGACAUUUGUUUUACACAAAUUGCUUUAGAUGUGGUAAGACUAAACUUGGACAAAAUGUACAUCUGAAUCUAAGCUUUAUUAACUAAGAAGACUGAAUGGAAUUUUCUCCCAGUGCAGUAAAACCUCAAUCAAGAAAAAUCACUCCAUUUUCAUCAGGUCUGGCUCUGAAGUUGCAUCAUGGCCUCCAGCAUGAAGGUUCACAAUGGUGGGCAGUGUUGAUGCACGCUGUAAUUCCAGCAGUCUGGAGGCUGUGGCAGGAAGACCUCAAGGUUAAGGCCAAUGUCAGUAACAGAACAUUCCAGGCCAGACACGGGUGCAUAACAAGACUUUGUCUCUGAAUGAAAAAAAGAAGACUGAAAAUGAAAGUGUACAAAGGACAUUGGCUGUCUGGUUUUCAGGAGGGCAGCAUGCGGUGUGUUCUCAGCUUUCCCAGCACAGGGCGUCCACAGGUCGUUAACAUGCUGGGCCUGUUCCUCUGCGGUGAUGAGAGCCCACCCCAGGAUGGGGAGGAGAAGUCCUGCGAUCUGGUGUCAGAAAGGACUAAAAGUCUUUGGGUUUUGUCAGCUGUAGGGAGGCUGACCACGGCCUGGAUCUGAGCUGUUGCCAGACAGUGAGUGAGAGUCUGCGUUUGUGCUCCUGAAAGAGCUUGUGAGGCCCAGCAGAGCCCAGCAGGGCCUGGGUUGUGUGGGGGAAGACACAGGGCUGCUCCUCUCAGCAUUCCUGUCUUAGAUCUGCCCUGCUAGGGCUGUGCAGAGUUGCCUGGUCUGGUGUCCAGGGGCUGUGGAAUUAUUCAUGUUUGGUUUUAAAAGCAGCUUCAGGAGCUUGGGGUUCAGAUUGUCGUCAGUUCUCGGCACCUGUGUGUUACACACAAGAGGGAUUUGCAGUUCUUUUAACUUCAUUGCCUACAGUGCUUAGGAUCUGGGGACACGCUGUACUCAGACAGAGGCCCCCAAUCUACAUUCCUAUUCAGGAGGGGAAGGACACCCAGACAGCCUUCCCUGCUGCCCAUCUGUUCCUCAUCAUCUGGGGAUGGGGAGUCUCUUAGAACUGCUCACACUGUCCACAGCCUCAUUUUCCUCUAGCUCUAGCCAUAACACCAUUCUUUAAACAGAAGUGCACAUUAGAUAUGUAACCUAAAAUGUUGAUUUAAAAUUUCUGUUCCCUGAUAAAUAAAGUGUGGCACAUUUAUUCAUGUGCUUAGUGGGACGUCAGAGAUCUUCCUAUUUUCCUACAUUGUUUACUCCUUAAAGAAAGCUGAGUUGGUAACACGUUAUUAAUGAGUUGAAGUAAAAAUCUUGUUUGUCCUGUGCUGUGGGAUGUUCUGUAUGUCCUGUGGGAGCCCUUCUUGGGUUCCUUGUGG